Molecule: long non-coding RNA, 847 nt
Organism: Micropterus dolomieu (smallmouth bass)
Lineage: Eukaryota; Metazoa; Chordata; Actinopteri; Centrarchiformes; Centrarchidae
Exons: 3
Source: RefSeq, a predicted model, not a curated record
GUUGGGCUUUUUGGCAGCAAGGGUGUUUCACAAUUUUCUCAUCCAAUCGGUCCCAUCAUUAAACUGUACUGAUUUGCAUUAUCUUAUAUAAUAGCCUCAAACACAAUAGUAGUAGUCAAACACUGAAGAGAACAUAAAGCGUUUGGUAAGUUGAACACGUAGCUUCAUAUUUAUUGGCUAGUUAUAAGGUUUAUAUGUUAUAGGGUCUCUUCCAUUUUAUUAGUGCAUGAAAAUAACACUUGAAAGUGUAGAAUCACUUGUCAACAGAACAACAAGAACAAACAACAGAACAAAAGAGAAGUCUGAUCUAUAAACUGCCCAGUGUCUAAUUUAACGCAAAAGCAAACAUUAAUCAAAGUCAGCAUGGACAGGACCGUGUUUGUGACACUCCUGCUUACAGGUUCCUGCGUAACCUCCCUUUCCUAUCCAAACCUCUACUACUUUGUCAGAAAGCAGAUGACUUGGAAAGCUGCACGAAUCCACUUAUUACACUGACUACACUGGUGAUUUCGCACCCCUCCCUUUUCUGUCAGGGAGAGACAAUAAAAAUUUUUUGGAUUAUUCCCUUUUGGCAUGAUUUAAUUGAACCAACACUGGUGGUUCACUACAUACUGUAUGUACACUUUUGAGCUUCUGAUAGACUAAUUUGCUAAAUUCAGACAGAAAUGUACUUUUCACUAUAAGUAGACAUAAUUCACAGCUGUAUUUACUUUGCAUAUCAAGAUGUUAAAUUCAAAACAUGCAAAAAGCUCACAAAAUACCACUACAUAUCAGUAGAGAUGUCCCGAUUAAGUUUCUUUUGACUAAAUCAAAUCUGAUUAUGUAUUUACCAAAGUAACACAGUUGC